RNAcentral lists this transfer RNA (74 nucleotides) under Pteropus alecto (black flying fox). It matches the Rfam family "tRNA". Rfam says of the family: Transfer RNA (tRNA) molecules are approximately 80 nucleotides in length. Their secondary structure includes four short double-helical elements and three loops (D, anti-codon, and T loops). The record is from Rfam by way of RNAcentral. Lineage: Eukaryota; Metazoa; Chordata; Mammalia; Chiroptera; Pteropodidae.
GGCUCUAGAGUGUAGAGGUUAGCACAUCUGCUUUACAUGCAGAAAGUCCUGAGUUUGUGCCCCAGGUGGAGCCA